AACGCACCUUGCGCCCCUUGGUAUUCCGAGGGGCAUGCCUGUUUGAGUGUCAUUAAAUCCUCAACCCCUCCGAUUCGUUUCGGUGGGGAUUGGACUUGGAGCGUGCUGGCGAAGGUCGGCUCCUCUUUAAAUGCAUCAGCGGAGAAAAUGCCUUUUGCGCCUCUGGCCGUUCAGCGUGAUAAUGAUGUUGCGCUGCGGUCGAGCUUAAGGUCCGCUUCCAAAGGUCCUCGGACAAAUAUACAUAUGACUUUUGACCUCAAAUCAGGUAGGACUACCCGCUGAACUUAA
Molecule: unclassified non-coding RNA, 288 nt
Filed under: Tylospora sp.
Lineage: Eukaryota; Fungi; Basidiomycota; Agaricomycetes; Atheliales; Atheliaceae
Also listed under: 3 other names
Description: partial contains 5.8S ribosomal RNA, internal transcribed spacer 2, and large subunit ribosomal RNA
Rfam family: 5.8S ribosomal RNA (bases 1-52)
Source: RNAcentral